GGAAAUAAUAGGCUCGGCUUUAAAAGCUUGAGUAUAUAAUGAGGUGAACUUAAUCCACUUUCAGAAUCCUAUUAGAGGGCAAGUCUGGUGCCAGCAGCCGCGGUAAUUCCAGCUCUAAUAGCGUAUAUUAACGUUGUUGAUGUUAAAAAGCUCGUAGUUGAAGAUCCGGCCCUUUUGGGUCUGUCUGGGAGGCUGAUGGAUAAUGUAAAAGUUUUCUUUCAGUUGAAUAGACUUUUACUGUGAACAAAAUAGAGUGCUUAAAGCAAGCGAUAGCUUGAAUAUCUUAGCAUGGAAUAAUAGAAGAUGACUUUAUUCACUAUGUUGGUUUUUGAAUAGAGUAAUGGUUAACAGGAACAGUUGGGGGCAUUUGUAUUUAAUAGUCAGAGGUGAAAUUCCAAGACGGGUUAAAGACAGACUAAUGCGAAGGCAUUUGCCAAGGAUGUUUUCAUUAAUCAAGAACGAAAGAUACGGGGGAUCGAAGACGAUCAGAUACCGUCAUAGUCCCUUACCUUAUAACUAUA
RNAcentral lists this ribosomal RNA (521 nucleotides) under Pelagacineta hebensis. RNAcentral's name for it is "bacterial SSU rRNA". It matches the Rfam family "Eukaryotic small subunit ribosomal RNA", at positions 473 to 1041 of the family's 1831-position model. Lineage: Eukaryota; Ciliophora; Phyllopharyngea; Endogenida; Tokophryidae. The record is from RNAcentral.